AUGGCGCCCCCUCAGGCCGAUUCCCCUCGCUGGGAGCACCACUCAGUUUUGAAAAAUUGGAAUUGUGAGAUGCGGGUUUUAACUUUUAAGAACAUCCAGGGCACAUCUUUUCUUGGAAUGCAGUUAGCUCGGUGGUGGUCAUCUGAGAUGUCAGUGGCACCUGAAGAUGUAUCAAAAUCUGUUGCACAAAGUAAAGGAGCACUGAGGACAGCGACUUCCAUCUUGGCCUGUAUGAUGCUGGUUCGGCCGUGGCCUUUGAUAUCUCAGGACCAAGGAAUGAACAUGAAGCAAAUUAUAACACUCAGAUUCAUGGCGGUGCUAGACAGGGCAGGGCAAGAGAGCACAAGGAAGAAUGCCAAAGGGGGCAUCAUAAAUGGGAGUUCGUCGUUAUGA
This 393-nucleotide ribosomal RNA is filed under the name Triticum aestivum (bread wheat). Its description in RNAcentral is "partial small subunit ribosomal RNA". The record is from RNAcentral. Lineage: Eukaryota; Viridiplantae; Streptophyta; Magnoliopsida; Poales; Poaceae.